UCACCUGAGCCUCAGCAGGUAGUGGUGGGUUUCAGGCUGCUGAGGCUGUGGCAGAGGGAGUGUGAACUUCUCUGCCCCACCCCUUUGAAAUACUAGGAGCAGAGCUGACACAGGCUGAAAGGAAAAUUUAGUUGUGAUGCAGCCAAGAGCCUGUCAGCUUCUGCAGGGGGUUCUUCUUACCCUGCGUGUAUGGAGAGUUGAUGACCCCUAGUGGGAGCUGAGAAACCACACAGCCGCCUGCAACAAGUAAAUGCUGAUAUUUGCAUUGGAGAUGUGGGGAGUUAACACUCUCCACAGGAGAUCUGUUCUUUUGCUUACAGCUUCUUACUUAGGCAACUGAGAAUUGAAGUUUUUGAAAAAUCAAAACAGAAAUUUAACUUAUUAUGUGAGGUAGGGACAAAGUAAAGUCAUCAAGUUCAGGAAGGGCAUAGCCCAGCCUUGCUGUAAGAGGGUGACUUCUGUGCCUGACCAUAGGCUGACACUGGUGACCACGGCCACCUGGGGCAGAGCUGUGAACCCAGAGAAGCAGCUGAACAGGCCAGCAGGCAACCUGCCAUGGGGUCCUGCUCCAAGAACCGGUCCUUCUUCUGGAUGACUGGGCUCCUGGUAUUCAUCAGCCUCCUCCUCGGUGUCUGCAGAACUGCAGCCAACACUUCUGGAGCACAUGGCUCUGCAGGGAAGGAUUCUGGAGCCCCCAUUCAUCUGAAGGGCAUCCGAGGAGGUUCUAUCUUGUUUAAUGCGAUCGAGAAGCUCAGAGUAGAUGUAGGCACCGAGUUGGAGGAGGUUCUAUGGGCUUUGGGCACUCUGACAGAUCAUACAC
This 820-nucleotide long non-coding RNA is filed under the name Homo sapiens (human). RNAcentral describes it as "HSALNT0015981". The record is from RNAcentral. Lineage: Eukaryota; Metazoa; Chordata; Mammalia; Primates; Hominidae.